UACUAAACGCACGCUUUAGAGCAAACAUUAAAAAAAAAACAAAAAAAAAGAGAGGAGAAACUCAGAAUAGCUUGCGCUUAAGCAUACAUUUCUCGCAGCAUCUACUGUGAAAAUUAAUAGCCUAAUUAUGUAGAUAUUGCUAAGUUUAUUGAGAAUUCAGCAAAAAAAAAUUUAAUUAUUCAAUGUUUAAAAAAAUUUAUAGAGUAAACAUUAAAAGAAAACACGAAAUCCAUCUAUUCGAGAAAAAUAUUUGAAUAAACAAAGUAUGGCUUAUAUUUUUUUUUAUUACCUUCAUACUUUCUUUUUUUUCUUUAUAGAAAAUUUCACUUCUAAUUUCGGCAAUAUGAGGUAAAGCUGAAAAGCGAAGCAAAGGCGUUGGGAAUCGGAUAAAAAGAAAGCAAAGUGGAUAUUUUGCAAUGAUGAGGGAAGUCUCAAUUUAUGUCAUUUCCGCAAAAAUCAGAGAGUGCGGUUACAUAUUUGCAUUUAACGCGGCGUAUAGAUUUACAAAGGGUAGCUUAACAAUAGCGCAUGCAUGUAGUAUAUCAGAUGUUACACGUUACACAUUCGGCAGCUGUGUGUGUGUGGAAGGAACUUAUCCGAGAUCGAUAUACACAAGGGGUGGCUCUGUGCCAAGUACAGCUGUCAGGCACCCAGCCAUUCGUCUUCUAGAUUGUUGUUCCACCUCAGUCCAGGUGGCACGUUGGGUGGAGGGAUAGUGUGACGUAGUAAUGCCACGAAAUCUGUCGUCGUCUGCAUGCACUCAAUUAUUGGAAGUCUGUAACAGUAGAUAUGGUGCCAAAACAGUUCGAAAUUGGCUACUUUGCAGUUUCCAGUGUACCUUGAUUACGUAUAGAGUUAAGUCACCACAAAUUCAUGCUUUCUUUUCAUUUUGAUCAUUCUUAAAUUAUUCAUGGUUACUUACGAGUUAGUACUUCUUGAUGGAACUCGGGAAAGAUUAUUCUGGCAUCGUGCGUAUGCAUUAUCUAUCUUCUUUGACCAACCAUUAAGAUAUGGAAACUUUAAUUUUGUUUUCUAGGUGGAUUAUAAUGUAAUCGAGAUUACUAUGAAGUCAGAACUACAUCUUUUGAUGGAUGUAAUAAACUUUUAAAAGAUUUAGUCUUGUAUUAUUACCAUUAUUACGGGCGAAUGUAGGCGUCAGGAAAAAUGUGCAGAAGUACGAGGCAGAGGAUCUGAUAGGCAGAGUGGAUGAAUUCUUCAAUGACAAGGCAUUGAUCGCUUCAUCUUCUUUAGACAAGUUGCACGGAACCCGAGGGAACGAUAAGCCGGGGUUGUAUUACGUAAAAGGUUGUGACAAAUUGGUUGCAGCCAACACAAGGCUCUGCAUUAACCUCAUCAUCAUUUUGACCUUUUGAAAUUUUUACGCUUUCAAUUUAAGAAAAAGUAUCGAUCGAGAAGGCGCCUCUCUCUCUCUUUCUUUCUUCUCUUCUACCAAGUCUCGGCUUUUGUUCCGCUUUUUAAGGAGACUUUUCUCUCGCCGCAGGGCCGGAAAAGGCCAGUUGGCAACACGGCUGACCAGAUCGAUGGCAAAAUAAUUCGGAAGAAAAUCACGUAAAAAGAUUGAUAUGAGUUAAAAAGUGGCGGUCCGUGACCACUUCGCAACUUUUCACUUCCGAGUUCGUUCUUUACCGGAGAUCGGUUCUCCAUCUAAUUAUCUUUGUAAGUCUGGUUUUCGUCACUCUUCCGCAGGAAUGACUUUUUACCCAAGGAAAAGAAACGAGCGCCUUCCUUUUAUUGUUUUCUCAGCAUUUAGAAAGGCAUAUCUAGGAUUAAUAACCCGUUAAAGAUGCUUUUUUCUGGAGUUAGUAGAAUGAAGAGACGUAGAAGGCCUGAUCAGAAAAACGGAGAUGAUGUUUUCUCGAGGGAAAAGGACCGACAGCCGCCUUAAUUAAGAAGAUGUGGUGAUAGCACCAUGGAGCCGAUUUAUGAACUGGCCGAAGGCCGAGUGUUCGACAAACGUGCCGCAUACACGGCCGAGCUAAUGGAGCGUGUGGAGGCAGCUGGCGCAACAGAGCGGCUUAAGACCGACUUGGCUAUCGAGUAUUGGACACGGGCCAAUGUCAUUCUUGCGGUUCCUUAUGGUUAUUGGAAUUCGGAGCCGGUUAUUUGUCACUUUACCAACAUGGACACCUCCGAUCAAUGGCGGGAAUUUCUUCCUUCUUCUCCUAUUUAAAUUCUUCGCCACUCGUCAAAUUUUACUGCGCCGCGCACGCUGUUAUUUGGCAUUCUUCCACCCCGCUCGGCCUUUGAAUUUCUGCCUUUCAACCUUCUCUUCCAGCUGCCGCCUUCACCAGUCGGUAGUUGGGAAAUUUUGUGCCUCCUCUCUGCUACUUGGCACCCCGAACUCCUCCUAAAUUGUGUUUUACUUCCGCAGUCAGUCCUCUCGGGUUAACGUUCCCCGCCGGCUAAAUAGCUUCCGAAAAUGUUUCUCUAGAUGUACCAUCCUUUCGGGACCUCCUCUUUAUGCCCUCCAGCCACAUGUCCAUUUUAGGUCACACUUUCCUGAGGGAUAGUAGGAGAAAUAAAAUUUUCCCCCCGUUUUCUACACCCAAAUGAUAAUAAGAUGCUUAAACGCGUAGAACUGCUACUUAUUCAUUUGCGAAAGUCGGAGAUUGUGCUGACGCUUUUCCUUCCAGAAGAGAAGACUCAGCUCUCGCUUUUAAAAUUUAUGAUAAAUUUUUAGCGGAAAAACAAAGAGCUAAAUUGUUCUCGCUAUUUCGCACAAUUUUUAUUGCGUCGAAGAAAAGUGAUAUGUUAUUUAUUGCUCUUUCUGCGGCCAUUUUCAUGCGUCAUCUCCCAAAACACGGCGCUGAUGAAGUCCGUUAUAAAGAAACGAUUGAAAUCCCAUCCUGACUGUUUCCUUUUACCUGGUCGUUUUUAUCAUCACCGAAUGUGGAUGAGGAUGCUUUUCCUGUUUCUAAUGAUCAUCUGACCAUUCGAUGCCUUAAAACCAAUUCUGUUCUUUUAUACCGUAUUUUCCCGUGCUUUUAACGGCAUGAACUUACUAUCAAAAAAUUUUAACUUCCAUUGAAGCCAUUUUACUCGCUCUACAAUUUAAAAAUGGGUUAAAAAAAUUCAAGAAAUAACUUCAUGAAGCGUCAGAAGAAAAAUGGUAUUCGAAAACUACAAAAGAUGCAUCUGCUGACGAUUUCUGCAUGUAAACAGCAUCAUUCUUCUGCGUUUUCGCCCGAAGAACUAUUCUGUUCUAUGGUCGAAGAAUGGAGUGUGAUUAGUGACCAUUUUUCAACAUAAAAGAAAGCUUGUUAUUCGAAAACUUUUGACUUUUCAGCUUGGUCUUAACCAAAUUAAGCCAGUUUAAUGGGACAGUAUUAUCUUUAAAACUUAAAAGUAGGCGAGUACCUAGUAAUAGCCAUUCAAUAUCCUUGUUAUUUUUAUUUUAAUGAGAGAGAAGCCUAUUGGAUGAUGUAGUUUGGCCCCGAAAGGAAGUAAUUGUAAAACAUUGCUUGUCCAAUUAAAAAUAUUAGUAUGUCUGGAGGCGAAGUGGACGAUCGGAUUCUCUGGUUUUAAACUAUUUGGAAUUCUGCCCGGACAUGACAAAUUGCUUAUUGACUUUUCAUUUUCUUAUUAAGGAGCCGGCGCUCUUCUGCACGAAUUACUUCUCCGGUAUAUCCAUCAUCGCAUUUGUUGCAUCCAUAUUUUUCGAGAUUUUCACUUGGGUAUAAUGCCUCAAUAAAGAACUCGGUUAUUAAUCUGUCCGCUGGAGAACAGAAGGGGAAAAAAGACUAUUUGACUUUUUAGUUUUAUUUCUUCGGGGAUUAUCUUUGCGUGUUUAUCUUCCGUAGUACCAUUUUUUUAUGUCUCCUCCUCCGUCUCUUCUUUUCCAUCCUCAUCAUCUUUAACAUGUCUACACUUCCGACCGCAUAUAAUCUUCCAUUUAUUCAGACAGUGGGUGCUUCAGUGCAAGAGGACCAGUGCGAUGAAUGGUUCUCUUGCACCGAAAACCCAAAUGCAACAUAACAAAGCUUCGCAAUGGCGAAUUUUGUGAUAUCUAUACUUGAGGUCAACACCCAUAAUUUAAUCAAUAGAACACUUUUUUUUUUGAUCAGUCAGAGGGUCAAAUCUCCGUCCAUUAUUUCAUCCGGUAGCCCGGUUCGCCGAUUUUAAUCAGAACGCUUGGUUUAUGAACUGAAAAGACAGAAUUUAAAAUCAGAUAAUUUUAUCGAUUUAAUAGGAAGAAGAAGUAUGCCACUCACGGUAAGAUCAAUUUAGGCUGUCGGAUCCUUAAGUAUUACCACCUCCAACCAUUCCACCAGCGGUUGUUUCCAUGGCAACGUUCCCUUUUUUUUUAUUUAUUUCAUACAUCGUCAAUUAUAGUCGACAAGCCUUCCUUUUUUUUCUCUCUGCCUAGCAGCUUUCACCCAAAGAAACCUUCAUUACUAGACCACCUUAGGUGUUUUGACUUUUUUUUCAUACUUUUACGCUUACUUUCUAACAAAACUGUUUUUCUUCUCCCGCACAUUUGCACUUUCUCGAUUACCCGUUGUAAGCGCUGAUUCAAUAAACCCGUCGGGUGGUCUCCUAUAAAGGGAGGGAGGAAAAAAUAAAACUAGCCCAAAACUCUUCCAAGUUUUCUAACCGGUUAAUUUCGCCGUUUUCGAAACCGAUUGGUCUUCGCCACCGGAACUGUAACUAGAUAGGAAAUGCGUCUUUACAGGAUGGGGAGGUGUGUGCCAUUUGCCACUUGUCACUCAUCGUUGAAAAUCCUAUUUCCUGACCAGAUUUCAUUCUCCGCGAUUCUUCCCCAUGUUUCCCUGGGGAAUGAAGCUAAACAAGCGAUCGAUGUAAUAUAAAAAUGACUAGAUCAUCUGCACGUCCCCAAACAAUUUCUUUCUGACUGGCUCCCAAGUUAGGAUCAAUCUACUAGAGAACACGCUUUAACUCUCUGGGGAUUCAAUGCGGAAAAGAUAAUUCCCGGAUUAAUCUAUCGAUAGUCUAAAGCGCGUUUACAAAAUAAAACACAGAUUUCUUAAUUCCUCUUCUACGUUCUCUCUACUGGAACAUUUCAUCAUCGGUUUAGUUUCUAAAUCGGGCUUAUUUCCGAACCAGUCGUCUUUCUACUACUAAAGAUAGGGGGUAAGAAAGUAAGCUCCGGAGAGCGGAUGGUAUCCUAAAAGAGAUAUUAAUUUCAGACUCUGACAUCCCGAUUUGUUCGAAAGCGUAGAUAAGAAGCCUUUACAGACCUCUUAAUGGAUUUUGUCAAAGUAAAAUUAAAUUCUAAACGAAGGUCGAACGGCAUGCAGCCUAGCAUUAACGAGGAAGAGUGACGAUGUGGAAGAGUUUCCCUCUGACAAAAACGCAUUAAAACGAUUGAACGUGUUUUUAUUUACUGCCGGCAACAACCUCUGAAUCGGCGUCGAAUGGGCACCUCAUUGGCGCCCGUUUGUCGCAAUUAACGUUAUAUACGUCUAACGUCAAUCGGUCUACGUCGCAUUUUGAGGCUCCAUUCGUUCAGCACCGUUUCUCUCGUCUGAGAAUGGUGUAUUUUUAUGGCGACUGCGAGAAGAGCUGCCACCAUUCGGAAUUCUUAUAACCUACAUGAAAAAUCCAUUUUUCUAAACUUCAAAUAGGAAUAUAAUAGGCUUUUCCACUCGGAUGGCCUGGUAAUCCACUUCAGAUAUAGUUUCGGAGGUGAUACGCGUCUUCCGAAUCGUAUUCCUAUGUAAACAUGGAAAUAAAAAAUGUAGUUUAUCUCGAUGAGGUCCGUUUAUGUCUAACUUACCGGAUCUGCGUCACGAACUUUUAAUAGUUUUAUGAAGUUUCUCAUCAUUCUCAUUCUUCAACCCUGUGAAUAUAACAUGGAUCCAGUGAUGAGAAUAGCGUGAGAUUUUCUAUCGGGUUCGUUUAACCGGCAUAUUGAAAUUGGUAAAUAAAUUUGACUAAGAUGGAUGUUGUUAGUGCAGCUGUUCAAACGCUCUUAGUGGCUUACGGUGUGUUUUGAUGAAUUGGACCACUUCGGUGUUUGUAUGCGAGUAAAUAUACCUUCGCAUCGUAACACGAUUGUUACGCAUUUCACACUAGGAAAAAAAAUUGGUGAAUUAUUUAUUGUCGGGAUGGUUAUCAAUUAACGUGUCAAAAACCGCACAGAAUGCGAAUUUAAGUGGGUUUGGGCACGAAUAUAGGAUUUAUUUGCCUUGUAUAUUAUGUCUACUGAACUUUUUUCGAGAUCAUAUUUUACGAAGCUAUUUGGUUAAGAAUAUUUGGUGUUUAUCGAAUGGCCAUUAAAGGACACGAGUCAACAUAUUGAAUAACCAUAAUGCAGUGCUUUAGAAGAAUUCCAACAUUCAGUUAAUGGAGUGGACACGAAAAAAAAUUCUAGUUAUAAAUCUAUGGUAAGUUGAUGGGCAGAUAUUCUAGUGGUACAGAAAAAAACGAAUAAAUCUUCCAUACAGGUUAAGCAUAAUAAAUAGAAAUUUUCCAAUUUUUCCAUUCAAAUAGAGAUGCGCGAUUAGCGAAGGUCAACCUGGUUUCUAUGUUUUCACCUUAGACAUUCUUAUGAGGGCUUUGUGACUUCUAUCUAUCGAAUUUAAAGAAAAUUCGAUUUUAGAACAAUGUAGUAAUUUCUAUCAGGGAGUAGAUUAUAAUGGCGAAAAAUAUUUAAGUUGCAAAGUAGAAUUUGAGAACCGAUAAGAACAAAAUUAAUCUAUACUGAAAAGUUAUUAAGGAAAUGAUAACAAGUUGAUUUUUUUUAACAACUUAGGAAUAGACGAAAAGAUAUUAAAAUCCUUGUAGAAAGAUAAAUUCCGAAUGAGUUUUAUUAGAUCCCUUCUGAAAGCCCAAGUCUUGCCGGAAAACAUUAAGAGGCGAAAAAUCCCGAGAAGGAUUAAAAUGAAGACAUUAACGUUUCGUUAAUUGAUUUGGCAGAAAUAAUCUAGAGAAGAAGGCAGAUCCGAGAAUAAAAUCUUUUUUUUUUUUUUCUUUUUUUAUAUUUUUGCCGAGGAAACAUUAAAAUGUGGAGUAAUGUCCUAUCUCAUUCUAGAUCGUUAACUGCAACUUCUGUAGACGCAUCCAGCAAUAAUAACACAUUACUGCCACGCUUCCAUCAUCGCUUCCUGCUAAUUAGAAGAAAUCUGUUUUAGAUAAGGCUAAUAACUCCGAUCUAAAUGCUUAAAUAGCCAAUAUAAAUUAACAAUUCCCACUCGCCUUUAUCUUCCGUCAAUUGCAAUUUUUCUUUAAAUACAAUCGGUCGCUCACCGGAACGUUCGGCGGCCCGACCCUCUACCGCGGAAAUGUCCGCGCAUUGGCGCCAACUCGAGCGAAACCGCGACGCCAGGCGAAUAAUGGUGGUAAAUAACGAUACGAUCACCACACUCAGACGAGGCUAUUGUCGUGUACGCUGAAACAAAGAAUAAUAGUUCAGUUACACCACAAUAGUGCGGAACAGACAAGUCUAAAAUUUUUGUCGAAACUCUAAUUAGCCAAAUGGAUUGUAGAAAACGGAAUGAGAGAUUUGAAGAAAUCGUGCUCAUUUCUUAUGGAUGUUUUUUUUUUGAAAGAUUUAAUCCUCGAUUAAUUGGGCAAAAAGCCGAAUCGAAACAGAAUCUUAGAUAAUUAACGAAGAAAUUCUAACACCAUUCUAUCGCGAAGCAUUUCUUUCGACCUGAGGGCAUAGUUUACGCUAGUUUCCGAUUCAUGCAUCCACCAGUCUUCACGGAAAUAGCGGGACCAUCCCCUUGGAUGACGACAAAUCCGAAAGAUGCAGACAGACACACUUUCCUUUUCCGCGCAUUAACGCCUCUGUGCUCCUUCCCGGAGGACAAAGUCUCUUUUAUGAAUUUCACUUUUGCCUUCCAGGCUGCAGUCCGAGUACUUUUCCGAGUAAAGUCUACAUUUAUCAUUUCUGAAGGUAAAAACACUAGGUGAAUUAUUUUUGCUGUGCGACUAAGCUACAGUUAUUUUUUUUAUUUCUGAACUGUGAUAGAAUAAUAAAAUUAGAACACGAUUCGCUUUUCAUGUUGCACCUUAAUUGAUAAAAUAUAAUUAAAACUAGUAGAUGAGCUGGAUUUGAUCUUAAAAAUACUAUAGGGAUCCGAGUGAAUUCACGAGAAAAUGUUUGAUGCGUGAAACUAUUUGAAUUGGCGGUAUCGAUUAUAUACGCGCUAUAUUCUCUUCCAGACGCUCUUUCCUGGGUACCAGAUGGGUUCCACUUUUAAAAUGACGUAAUAAGAAACUUGUUACAGUUGGCAGU
This 8224-nucleotide long non-coding RNA is filed under the name Androctonus crassicauda. Lineage: Eukaryota; Metazoa; Arthropoda; Arachnida; Scorpiones; Buthidae. The record is from RNAcentral.